CUGUGGGCAUGUACUGGCUCUCUGUUAUCCACUGUUGAUAACUGUGGGCAUGUACUGGCUCUCUGUUACCCACUGUUGGCACCUUAGUAAAUAGAUUAACACAGUUAAGGAUUUUAACCUUUCACGACCGGGGUUAGGUGUGAGACUGAGAUAGAAGAGGUGAGUUACUUCUCCACCUGGAGUACUGUCACCCCGCCUGGAGUACUGUCACCCUGUUUGGUCCCUGAGAUAUGGCACCUCGGGCACCCUGAGAGAUUAGAGCGCCUGCAACCAUCUAUCUAUCUAUACUAAUGAGCGGUAACCACCCAGUAAGGUAUGGUAACUACCGUUAUUGUAGUCGGGAAUUACUUCGUAUAUAUUUUUCCUUGAAAGGUUUCCUUAGUUAAAGGUUUAAUUAAUUUUAAAAGUAUUAUAUUAUUCUUAGAUAAAAGUAAAUGUGUUAGUGAUAUUAAAGUAUUUUUUAUAUUAUAGUUGAGUAAAUUAGUAAUGUUGGCAGCCCUGAUUCGUCAAUAUGUGCUCUGUCCGAAGCUGAAGAAUUUGGGUUGCUGUACAGUACGUAUACUUAUUUUUAUUUAUUUUUCCGUAAAGUUUUUCCUUAUUGUUUCUUUUCUAUACUACGAUAUAAAUUAAUUUACCCUAAAAUUUUUAAUAAAACUUGAAUGUACGAUUAAGGUUAGAUUUAUUUUUUUAAUAUUCCCACAAUCGUGUACAGUUUUUGGCUUGGCGGGAAAACACUACUCAGAGGUGAUUGGCAAAUGGCCUCGUCGGACCCAUCCAGUGUCACUUGAGACUCGGAGGGUGGAGGUGCUGACGGUCGUCUCUCUCACUUGCCGGUCUACGUUCGUUAAAUAUAUGAUGACGGUUCCAGUUGUUCCUGUUAACGGCCAGUUUGCUGCUUCUAGUGGUCGUCAGCGUGGAUAGUACAGCACCUCGUUAAGGAUGAUGACUUGAAGAUGGAGGAAAUGACCACCACAAGAGUUCUUCUGGUGACCUGACUCUUGCUGCAACAGACACAAGUCAGGUUAGGUACAGUACAGGUCAUCUCUCAUUGUGGUUUCUUCACUAAACUCUUGACAAAGUACAGUAAUUGUAACCCAUGGACUGCCUUGUCAAGUUAACUCUUCUAAGUGUAAAUAUCAAUGAAGUAU
Long non-coding RNA from Homarus americanus (American lobster), 1148 nucleotides. RefSeq lists it as uncharacterized. The transcript has 3 exons. The record is from RefSeq and is a predicted model, not a curated record. NCBI's taxonomy places the organism in Eukaryota, Metazoa, Arthropoda, Malacostraca, Decapoda, Nephropidae.